GACGAACGCUGGCGGCGUGCUUAACACAUGCAAGUCGAACGGGUGCCCAUCAGGUAGCAAUACCUGGCGGGUGCUAGUGGCGAACGGGUAAGUAACACGUGAGAAACCUGCCUCGAAGACGGGGAUAACAGUCGGAAACGACUGCUAAUACCCGAUGCCUCCACCGGACCGCAUGGUCUGGUGAAGAAAUGGAUUCCGCUUCGAGAGGGUCUCGCGGGCUAUCAGCUUGUUGGUGAGGUAACGGCUCACCAAGGCGACGACGGCUAGCUGGUCUGAGAGGACGACCAGCCACACUGGGACUGAGACACGGCCCAGACUCCUACGGGAGGCAGCAGUGGGGAAUCUUGCGCAAUGGGCGAAAGCCUGACGCAGCAACGCCGCGUGGGGGACGAAGGCUUUCGGGUUGUAAACCCCUUUCAGCAGGAACGAAAUUGACGGUACCUGCAGAAGAAGCCCCGGCUAACUACGUGCCAGCAGCCGCGGUAAU
Molecule: ribosomal RNA, 487 nt
Filed under: uncultured bacterium
Lineage: Bacteria
Description: bacterial SSU rRNA
Rfam family: Bacterial small subunit ribosomal RNA
Source: RNAcentral